This 72-nucleotide transfer RNA is filed under the name Cronartium ribicola 11-2. RNAcentral's name for it is "tRNA-Sup (CTA) (tRNA-Sup-CTA-52-1)". It matches the Rfam family "tRNA". Rfam says of the family: Transfer RNA (tRNA) molecules are approximately 80 nucleotides in length. Their secondary structure includes four short double-helical elements and three loops (D, anti-codon, and T loops). The record is from RNAcentral. Lineage: Eukaryota; Fungi; Basidiomycota; Pucciniomycetes; Pucciniales; Coleosporiaceae.
GUGUCUGUAGCCUAGUGGUAAAAGGCAGCACUCUAGAUGCUGAGGUUGUGGGUUCGAAUCUCACCAGACACA